GCCAUGGUGGCCUGGUGGUCUGGACAGUUGACUGCCAACCCAUAGGUCCCGGGUUCGAAUCCCGGAAAUGGCA
This 73-nucleotide transfer RNA is filed under the name Trialeurodes vaporariorum (greenhouse whitefly). RNAcentral describes it as "tRNA-Gly for anticodon GCC". It matches the Rfam family "tRNA". Rfam says of the family: Transfer RNA (tRNA) molecules are approximately 80 nucleotides in length. Their secondary structure includes four short double-helical elements and three loops (D, anti-codon, and T loops). The record is from RNAcentral. Lineage: Eukaryota; Metazoa; Arthropoda; Insecta; Hemiptera; Aleyrodidae.